This 85-nucleotide transfer RNA is filed under the name Spirochaetota bacterium. RNAcentral describes it as "Spirochaetes bacterium (groundwater metagenome) tRNA-Ser". It matches the Rfam family "tRNA". Rfam says of the family: Transfer RNA (tRNA) molecules are approximately 80 nucleotides in length. Their secondary structure includes four short double-helical elements and three loops (D, anti-codon, and T loops). Further hydrogen bonds mediate the characteristic L-shaped molecular structure. tRNAs have two regions of fundamental functional importance: the anti-codon, which is responsible for specific mRNA codon recognition, and the 3' end, to which the tRNAs corresponding amino acid is attached (by aminoacyl-tRNA synthetases). tRNAs cope with the degeneracy of the genetic code in two manners: having more than one tRNA (with a specific anti-codon) for a particular amino acid; and 'wobble' base-pairing, i.e. permitting non-standard base-pairing at the 3rd anti-codon position. The record is from RNAcentral. Lineage: Bacteria; Pseudomonadati; Spirochaetota.
GGAGAGUUGUCCGAGUGGUUUAAGGAGCACGCUUGGAAAGCGUGUGCGCGUAACAGCGCCGUGGGUUCGAAUCCCACAUUCUCCG